UGGCGGACGGGUGAGUAACACGUGGGAACGUGCCUUUAGGUUCGGAAUAACUACUGGAAACGGUUGCUAAUGCCGAAUGUGCCCUUCGGGGGAAAGAUUUAUCGCCUUUGGAGCGGCCCGCGUCUGAUUAGCUAGUUGGUGAGGCAAAAGCUUACCAAGGCGACGAUCAGUAGCUGGUCUGAGAGGAUGAUCAGCCACAUUGGGACUGAGACACGGCCCAAACUCCUACGGGAGGCAGCAGUGGGGAAUUCUGCGCAAUGGGCGAAAGCCUGACGCAGCCAUGCCGCGUGAAUGAUGAAGGUCUUAGGAUUGUUAAAUUCUUUCAUCGGGGACGAUAAUGACGGUACCCGGAGAAGAAGCCCCGGCUAACUUCGUGCCAGCAGCCGCGGUAAU
RNAcentral lists this ribosomal RNA (393 nucleotides) under uncultured Brevundimonas sp. Its description in RNAcentral is "bacterial SSU rRNA". It matches the Rfam family "Bacterial small subunit ribosomal RNA", at positions 96 to 524 of the family's 1533-position model. Lineage: Bacteria; Pseudomonadati; Pseudomonadota; Alphaproteobacteria; Caulobacterales; Caulobacteraceae. The record is from RNAcentral.